RNAcentral lists this unclassified non-coding RNA (347 nucleotides) under soil metagenome. RNAcentral's name for it is "partial contains 5.8S ribosomal RNA, internal transcribed spacer 2, and large subunit ribosomal RNA". The stretch from base 1 to 120 matches the Rfam family "5.8S ribosomal RNA", at positions 35 to 154 of the family's 154-position model. The record is from RNAcentral.
GAUGAAGAACGCAGCGAAAUGCGAUAAGUAAUGUGAAUUGCAGAAUUCAGUGAAUCAUCGAGUCUUUGAACGCACAUUGCGCCCCCUGGUAUUCCGGGGGGCAUGCCUGUCCGAGCGUCAUUGCUGCCCUCAAGCACGGCUUGUGUGUUGGGCCGUCGUCCCCCUCCUAGGGGACGGGCCCGAAAGGCAGCGGCGGCACCGCGUCCGGUCCUCGAGCGUAUGGGGCUUCGUCACCCGCUCCGUAGGCCCGGCCGGCGCUUGCCGACGACCAUCAAUCUCUUUCUCCAGGUUGACCUCGGAUCAGGUAGGGAUACCCGCUGAACUUAAGCAUACCAAUAAGCGGAGGA